GUGGCUGAAGUCAUGAGAGUCAUAAACAGCUUGGACAGAGCAGUUCUCAGAAAGAGGCCAGGAAUAUAUAGGAUGAAAUGUAAGCAAUGUUCCAGAAUGUCUAAAGACUGCAACAGAGUCUCUCUAUAGAAUCAAGUUUUCAGACUAAUUGUGUGCCAGCUCUUCUAAAGAAAAAUGAGAGUAAUAAAAUUGAGAAAAUCUUAAAUUAGUCAAAGAAAUGGAGAGAAGGCAACAGAGGAAGAGAAAAACAACAAAAAAAAAAGGUUCAGGAAUUUUUCCAAGGCCUUGCAGCUCUUAAGUAUGAAGUUAGGAUUCUGGUCCAAGAAGUUUGACUCCGGUAUGCAGAAAACAAGACAUGCACUCAUUAAUUGAAGAGACAACCUAAAUUCACCAAAAUUACCAAUAGAGACUACACCAGAUGGGGUGAUCACACAAAGGAAACAUUCUAUUUUCAGCAAACCAGGAGAUCACAGGGGAUAACUUCUAAAGCCUUGACUCCCUAAGGUGUGACUGCUUCUUUACACAUUUACAUCACAUGCUUUGUGCUGAAGUAUGUUAAGCACGGAGUCUUCUACACCAGCUUCCUGGAUAAAAGUGAUUUUAAACCCUGGCCUUGGACCACUGGAUUAGGCUUCAUCAAAGAAAAGUAGUUGAGGGGCAAAAGGACUAUAAAUUUACCAUCUGCUCUAAGACUUUUUGGCCAUAAAGACCGCAGUUAAAACUAUGUUAAUAGCUCAGUUCAGACAAGAAUGAUUCCUUAAUUUUCAUGUCUUAUAGGGUACCCAGGAUAAUGGAGAAGUCACUAUCUGAGCGUUGCUGUUAGUCAAGGCAGAGGAAAACAAGUACUCUGGAGAGCCUCACACUGAUGAGUUUCUAAAGAGUAGAUGAAAAUGGAAACUAAAUAUCCCUCUGCAAAAAACUGCAACCAAAUCCCAAAUUCAGGAUCUUAUAAGUUAAAAUUUAAGACAUCAUUUGAAACCUUUAGAGGAGGCAAACUGCACAAAUGAAAGCUGAACUUUAUAAAACCAAACAGCACAAAACAAAAACAUCCUAUUUUUUUCAAUAAUCCUUUAUCAUCAUUCAUUUAAACUGAAUUUGAGCUUAAUAAAUUUUACUCCUGCAAUGUCUAGGAAGGAAAAAA
Long non-coding RNA from Canis lupus familiaris (dog), 1141 nucleotides. RefSeq lists it as uncharacterized. The record is from RefSeq and is a predicted model, not a curated record. The transcript has 9 exons. Lineage: Eukaryota; Metazoa; Chordata; Mammalia; Carnivora; Canidae.